CAAAGGUCCGGUACAGGUGAGAGUGAGACCAUGAAAUCAAAUCGACGAAAAUAACACCCACGUCACCUAGAACUUGCUUCAAAGUCCAACACACGCUGCCUUGAUUGGUUGAACAAUCAGUUGGUACCUAGGUUGGCUGAAAAGGAAAAGGAAAAGGAAAAAAUUACACGUACGGACAGAAAAUCUUAAAAGUUUAGGUAAAACAUAAAAGCUAGGCUGGCCACAGCAGCAUGGAUAAAAUAUUUCACCAACCAUAUUGGUACAUCCAGGUCCAGACAGAUCAGUGCGGCGCUUUCCAGAAAUUUCAAGGGGCGAUUUCAGGUGGUAUUGGGGAAGACUCACUGCACCUUCAU
This 353-nucleotide long non-coding RNA is filed under the name Setaria italica (foxtail millet). RNAcentral's name for it is "long non-coding RNA (SITA_LNC000142)". Lineage: Eukaryota; Viridiplantae; Streptophyta; Magnoliopsida; Poales; Poaceae. The record is from RNAcentral.